UUGUUCUCUAAGCAUGCCUUUCUUUGAAUCCUAUAAAUUAUUUGUCCUUAAAAUACACAGGCAAAAAUAAAAUGACCAGAAUUUUAACGCUAAUGAGAAUUUUAAUCAGAGCUAAGGUUAGGAACUGGAUUCCCCUGCAUUCUUGAAUGAGUAAAAAAAAAAAUUGCUUCAAACAAGUGGGUGUGGAGGAUCAGUCUUGUUUUGAAAUUGAACAAAUUCUGACAGCAGUCAGAGAGCAGCUGUCUGUCAAUGUCAGGGUCAGGGUCUAGACUCCGAUGAAGGAGUGAAAACACCUAUGCACUCUGCUUUCAUAGGGGGAUGAUUCUUAUCUACAUAUGCGUAUUCUCAGAGCAGAAGACUGCUUGACCUUGAGUACCUGGUGUGUUUCACUGAAACUGCCAGGACAGCCUUAAGGAUGUCUGUUUCAGAUCAGAGAUUGAAAACCCGCCCUCCGUGGGCCCAGCGGGAAGAUCAUGUUCUAUUUGGCCUGCGGGUAUUUAUUUUUAAUUAAGCCCAUAUUUAAAAAUCAGAAGAUCUAUUUUUAAAAAUGAAACACCAGGGUUCCUGUUGUGGCUCAGAGGAAACGAAUCUGACUAGCAUCCAUGAGAACGGAGGUUCAAUCCCUGGCUUCACUCUGUGGGUUGGGGAUCCAGUGUUGCCAUGAGCCAUGGUAUAAGUCAUAGACAUGGCUCAGAUCUGGUGUUGCUGUGGCUGUGGCGUAGGCUGAUGGCUACAGCUCCAAUUCAACCCCUCACCUGGAACUCUCCAUAUGCCUUGGGUGCAGCUCUAAAAAAAAGACAAUAUAAAAAUAAAAUAAAAUAAAAUUUAAUUUAAAUAAAAUAAGAAACACCAACCCACAUUCCCUAAGCUGGGAAUAACUGGAGUUGAAUAACUGUACAUGGUAUCUCUCUUUAUUAUAUUUUAGUCCCACUAACCCCUAUUGUCUCUCUGACACUGAGACUAUAUUUAUAUAAGUCCCUUGUACCAACAGCUUCCCUUUUUGUGUUAGCUCUCUUGAAGCUAUAGAUGUUGAGCUGUGGAGGCCGAACUAGAUGGAUCCUAAGUACUGCUAGGCUCCCCAGGGCUCUGAGUGUAUUCAUGAAAUUGCUGCGCCUCUACAAAGUAGAGACAUUGUCAUGAAAUUAACUCCCAGAAACUUUUAUGAGACUCUAAACAGUGUCUAACAUCAAAAUACAUAGAUUCUCUGAAAGGUUAAUGAAUACACACUGAGUUGACCUGGUCCAUCAAUAAGAGAAUAGUGGAGAGUGGAAAUUGUUGGCUAGCUUGCUAUUUAUUUAUUUUUUUAAUUUUUUAAAUUUUUUGUCUUUUUGCCAUUUCUUGGGCCAUUCCUGUGGCAUAUGGAGUUUCCCAGGCUAGGGGUCCAAUCGGAGCUGUAGCUGUCAGCCUACACCACAGCUCACAGCAACGCCAGAUCCUUAACCCACUGAGCAAGGGCAGGGAUCGAACCCGCAACCUCAUGGUUCCUAGUCAGAUUCAUUAACCACUGAGCCACGACAGGAGCUCCUAGCUUGCUUUUUACUGUACCACACGUUGCAAAAAUAAAAAUAAAUAAAACGUUUGAACAAUAUUUAUGUAUUCUCUGACCACAAGUUUACACUGGAUUGCUUUAUGUAUUUUUAAAUGCACCAUAUCUUUACUCUAUGUACACCGCCUUCUGUAGACAGUACACUUGCAAAGCCUCCUGAAAGCCGAAAGCAUAUCUCAAGCUUUCAAUGGAUGGUGCAUGCUAUUUGGUAGGCCUGGCCUGGAGAAUAAACCAUCUGGACUGGUUUAAACCCACAUCCCCGUGUGUAGCUGUGUCGGUGCAACGGAGGAAAGCCCCGCCAAGGAUGGGCGUCAGCUGUGCUUCCAACCCUUGCAUGUGGCCAACCGGAUCCCUGCGUGGGUCUGGCCACUUGAUUGUGCAGAACUGCUCUGUUAAUAAGGCUGCAAAUGAGCGGACUCUGUCAGGGUGGAUUUCUUAGUGUCGGAAAGAAAGACAAAUGCCUUUGGGGGACAACAAGACGGAAAGCGCGGGCAGACCUCUUAAGUAGAAAAAGCCCUUGCCACCCAGUUCUCUGAAAUCUCUCCUACUUUCUCAACCCCGGCUGCCACACUCCUUUCCUCAUCAUACUUCACAGCCUGCCGCCCCCACGUGGUGCCUCCCACCCGGCUUCUAAAAACAUCCUCGCACCUAAUUAUUAAUCCUAAAGUGCCGGUGCUCCAGCAGCUUCACUCCAAGAAGACAGCGCUGAGAAUAGUAUCAAUGGAAGCCAACAAGGGACACAGUGCUCCGUGGACGCCGUGCUUGCUUGGGACAGAGUGUCUUUCCUUAGCAGGUGUCAUGUCACCUGAAAUGUAGUCAUCACGUACAAAAGACCAGAGGUGUUCAGAUUCUUUAUGGAUAAAGUUAAGGUUUUUUUCCCUUAGUGAUUUUCAAGAAACUUAAAUUUAGUUACACUUAAAUUUAGUUACACUGAAACUUUAAUGCUCUCUUAUGAAACUAUUCUUCUAUUCCCCUGGUGCUUAUUUUCAUGCUUAAAAUUACAGUGAUGGGUUUUUAAAGAUGAUCCCUCUGGGGUUUGUGGCUUUUGAGUGGUGAGUCCAGCUCUCAGGAAGAGAUGAUCAAAGUUAAUAAGCUGAGAGUUCCCGCCGUGGCUUAGCGGUAACAGAGCUGACUAGGAUCCAUGAGGACAUAAGUUCACUCCCUGGCCCUACUCAGGGGGUUAAGGAUCUGCCAUCACCGUGAGUUGUGGUAUAGGUCACAGACAUGGCUCAGACCUGGCAUUGCUGUGGCUGUGGUGUAGGCUGGCAGCUGUAGCUCCAAUUUGACCUCUAGCCUUGAACCUCCGUAUGCCUCAAGUGUGGCCCUAAAAAGACAAAAAAAAAAAAAAAAAAAAAAGUUAAUAAGCCAGCUGGACUGGGUUGAGGUCACAUUGGUACUUCUGCUUUUGUAUUUUUGUUGUUGUUGUUGUUUUUUUUUUUGUUUUUUGUCUUUUUGCUUUUGUAAAUCAAUGAAAAACGUUCCUCAAACUGGAAACAGGAAUUUAUUUAGGAGAUGAAGUACAGAAUGUGGGAGGAGGCUUUGCCAAGGACUCUGAUUUAAGUAAGAUAGAUGCUUGGAUUAUUUAAUAAGUUAGUGUUGAGUUCUUUAUAUGUUAGACCCUCUGUUAUGUGCUAGGGAUUCAAAGUUGAAUAAAACACAGUCUGGGGGAGGAAGCAACUAGGAGGAUGGGAAUAUCAUACACACACUAGUAUAUAAAAUAAAUCAUUAAUAAGAACCGACUGUAUAGCACAGGGAAAUUACUCAAUAGUUCGUAAUAAUCCAUAUGGGAAAAAAAGCAUGGAUAUAUGUAUAACUGAUUCACUUUGCUGUACACCUGAAACUAAUACAACAUUAUAAGUCAACGAUACACCCAUAAUUUUGUUUUAAGUAGCCGGAAUGCUCAAAUAAUUCCCAGACUAGUGGGCUAGAUAAACUCGUUCAUAAAUAGGGCUCUGCAAAGUUACAAGAGGCUCCUUUCCUGGUUCGGAUCUCCGGGAUUUCCCCCAGCAGCCUAAUAACCAGGCUGCUUUCUGGGUCCCAACCAAGCCCCCCUGUGCCUCCCUCUUCCUUCCUUAGGCCCUAGUGAGUCAGCUCAAUUUCCGUCCGUCUUCACGGCUUCGCCACCUGCUCGCCCACCUGGGUUCCUUUUUUUCCAACAUGAAAACCAGAAGAGGUCUUUCCCACACUAUGCUUCCUUCAUGCCAUGGAAAUAAAGACAAUAAGUCCAAAGGUGUCGAACAACUUUUUUCUGCUAAAAAUAACGAAGACACAGAGGGUAGCAAGGGUGACCAAGACGGGACAGAUAGAAGAUGAAGAAAUUGUCUCAGUUUCUGCUCGUGACGAGUCUGGACACACUAGGAAGGUCCCUCCCCACAAGGAUGACAGAAACACAACGUAACUGCAUCUCCUCUUUUUUCCCUUCUUUUUUUUUUUUUUUGUCUUUUUGUCUUUUUUUUGUUGUUGUUGUUGUUGUUGCUAUUUCUUGGGCCCCUCCUGCGGCAUAUGGAGGUUCCCAGGCUAGGGGUUGAAUCGGAGCUGUAGCCACCGGCCUACGCCAGAGCCACAGCAACGCGGGAUCCGAGCCGCGUCUGCAACCUACACCACAGCUCACGGCAACGCCGGAUCGUUAACCCACUGAGCAAGGGCAGGGACCGAACCCGCAACCUCAUGGUUCCUAGUCGGAUUCGUUAACCACUGCUCCACGACGGGAACUCCUUUUUUCCCUUCUAUUCCAGAAAACAUUCACACAAACAAGCGAGAUGCAUGAAAGUGAAAUUAUUAUAGGGAUGGCUUUAUUAUUGAGAUUAGCAUAGCUGAUAUUAGAGAAAACCGCUCUAAAUUAUUUUUUUCAUAAAUCACUUGCUGUCAUGGGUACUUUAUCAUCGCCCAUAAAUGGUUUGUGAUACACUGGUGUGUUAUUAGACAGUCUAAAGGUCAUGGUUUUAGAUAAUUGCUUAGACUCUCAGGAUCACCUCCACGCUGGGGGGCACGAUCUGACUCAAGUCAGAUCGUUAUUGAGUAAUGGACCCAUUGCAGGGCACUGAAAAUACCCAGCUGUUUUCCCAGCUGCUCCUCGAAAUGCCACACGCUCCAGCUAGCUCUGUUCCCUGCCGUGGUGCUUACCACUUUCCCCUAGCUCUCCUCUCCAGAGUUAGGACCCUGGAAGUUCAAGUGGGCAUUUAUGUCUCUGCAGACCUGGGGAAUGAUUCUGUCUCUGUGUAUUUACGCUUCCUCAGAAGAGAACGUCCCAGCCAGGCUGCCCAGAGGUGGUGGCGCAGGGAGAAGGGGGAGGGUACCUGGAUUACAGAGCUAAAGAUGAUGCUUGGAAGAGAAUCGAGAGACCAACCUGGCACAGGAGGGAAGAAGAAGUGAAGUGGGGUAAACGGGCACAAGAAACCAAAAGACUCACUCGGGCCACGUUGCCACCCGGGUUCUUGGGCAGGAGAGAACCAAGGGCCUUUCUCUUUAUCCGUCUAUGUUCCAGUGCAAGGAAAUGGGACACAGAGCGUGUAUAGAUCCGCCUAAGUAAUGACCUCUGAUUCUUCCAAAGCUUCAUUCUUGAGGCUUCUCUGCUAGCAGCAUGGGCUAAACUCAUUUCUCAUUUCAACAAAUCUAUGAGGUUUGUACUACGAUUCUCCCCAUUUCAGAGAGGAGGAGGCAGAUGAAAUAACUUGCCCAAAGUCCUCCAGGUAGUAAUCGACAGGGCUGAGAAUCCGGAGCUGUCUAACUUCAAAGGCCACACACCCCUUUCCCAUUGUGCUGCAGACACUGCCGUGUAUGAACCUUAUUCAUAUUAACGCUACAGACACUGGGUCAAAAGAUGAGGACCAGGCAGGAUUUUGCAGACUGCUUUUUGCUCGCUCAGAUUUCAUGGGGUGCUCUUUCAAAAGCAAAUGCGAGUGGUUCUAAAUCAGUGGUAAGUCACCCUUUAAAGCAAACAGGGUGAGUCCAAGGACAAACAUUUUAGGUUAAACCUUUACACACCUUUGUAUAGGUGGUAAAAUUGGAAAACAAAACGUUUUUAUCAAACUAUCCAGGUGACACACAUGUUCUGCAAACAACGCGUCUUUGUUUCCGGAAAGAAAAACCAGAUGCAUUUCACAUUCACGUGCACAGCACGUGCCUUGAACGAGAAAGAAAACCAGGCAUGUGUCUAUGUGGAGCUUUACCUGUGGACUUUGAACCUGGCAGCUAUUUAUAGAACUAGUGUAUCCGUGAUUGAUGUUUUAAUCAUAGACACUCAUUUACUUAUGAAAUGAGCAAUUCCUUAUUAGAGCUGGCAGCUAACGAUUCUAGUUGCAAAUUGAACGCUGCACAAAAGGCAUCCUGUGGACAGGAGGCCCACUGGGAACAAGUUCCUUCUUAAAACUCUAUUUCUAAUAAACUAGGGGUGCUUGACAGGAGUAUGGCUAUACCUAUAUUUAUCCUUUUUUUUUUUUUUUUGUCUUUUUGCUAUUUCUUUGGGCUGCUCCCGCAGCAUAUGGAGGUUCCCAGGCUAGGGGUCGAAUCGGAGCUAUAGCCACUGGCCUACGCCAGAGCCACAGCAACGCGGGAUCCGAGCCGAGUCUGCAACCUACACCACAGCUCAUGGCAACGCCGGAUCCUUAACCCACUGAGCAAGGGCAGGGACCGAACCCGCAACCUCAUGGUUCCUAGUCAGAUUUGUUAACCACUGCGCCACAACGGGAACUCCUAUUUAUCCAUUUUUAACCUGAAAAUCCACUAAUUGUUCUAAAGUCAUGAGUUCUUAGAGUUCCCGUCAUGGCUCCGUGGUUAAUGAACCCUACUAGUAUCCCUGGGGAUGCAGUUUUGAUCCCUGGCCUCACUCGGUGGGUUAAGGAUCCAGCAUUACCCUGAGCUGUGAUGUAGGUCACAGAUGUGGCUGGGAUCCAGUGUUGCUAUGGCUGUGGUGUAGGCUGGUAGCUACAGCUCAGAUUGGACCCCUAGCCUGGGAACCUCCAUGUGCUGCAGGUGUGGCCCUCAAA
This 6531-nucleotide long non-coding RNA is filed under the name Sus scrofa (pig). RNAcentral's name for it is "lncRNA (ENSSSCG00000058585.1)". The record is from RNAcentral. Lineage: Eukaryota; Metazoa; Chordata; Mammalia; Artiodactyla; Suidae.